Molecule: unclassified non-coding RNA, 397 nt
Filed under: soil metagenome
Description: partial contains 5.8S ribosomal RNA, internal transcribed spacer 2, and large subunit ribosomal RNA
Rfam family: 5.8S ribosomal RNA (bases 1-119)
Source: RNAcentral
GAUGAAGAACGUAGCAAAGUGCGAUAACUAGUGUGAAUUGCAUAUUCAGUGAAUCAUCGAGUCUUUGAACGCAUCUUGCACCUGCUGGUAUUCCAGCAGGUACGCCUGUUUCAGUAUCAGAAACAACUCUUCCCCUAAGAUUUUUUUGAAUCAUAGGGGGACAUUGAGGGUAUCUGGCUUAGAAGUAAAAUCUCUAGCCCGGAGACGCUUUAAAUGACUUAAGGCCUGCAAGCCAAAGUUUGAUUGCGCCUGAACUUUUUCUUAAUUUCAAGCGAAAGCUCUUGCGAACUAGAACUUUAUUAUUGCCUUGGGGGCCUCCCAAAGAAAACUUUCAACAACUUGAUCUGAAAUCAGGUGGGAUUACCCGCUGAACUUAAGCAUAUCAAUAAGCGGAGGA